RNAcentral lists this ribosomal RNA (465 nucleotides) under uncultured bacterium. RNAcentral's name for it is "partial 16S ribosomal RNA". It matches the Rfam family "Bacterial small subunit ribosomal RNA", at positions 338 to 795 of the family's 1533-position model. The record is from RNAcentral.
CCUACGGGGGGCAGCAGUAGGGAAUCUUCCACAAUGGGCGCAAGCCUGAUGGAGCAACACCGCGUGAGUGAAGAAGGGUUUCGGCUCGUAAAGCUCUGUUGUUGGAGAAGAACGUGCGUGAGAGUAACUGUUCACGCAGUGACGGUAUCCAACCAGAAAGUCACGGCUAACUACGUGCCAGCAGCCGCGGUAAUCCGUAGGUGGCAAGCGUUAUCCGGAUUUAUUGGGCGUAAAGCGAGCGCAGGCGGUUGCUUAGGUCUGAUGUGAAAGCCUUCGGCUUAACCGAAGAAGUGCAUCGGAAACCGGGCAACUUGAGUGCAGAAGAGGACAGUGGAACUCCAUGUGUAGCGGUGGAAUGCGUAGAUAUAUGGAAGAACACCAGUGGCGAAGGCGGCUGUCUGGUCUGCAACUGACGCUGAGGCUCGAAAGCAUGGGUAGCGAACAGGAUUAGAUACCCGGGUAGUC